UACAGAGGUGGCAAGCGUUGUUCGGAAUUACUGGGCGUAAAGGGCGCGUAGGCGGCCAAGCAAGUCCCGCGUGAAAUCCCCCGGCUCAACCGGGGAACUGCACGGGAUACUGCCUGGCUCGAGUUCGGGAGAGGGAAGCGGAAUUCCGGGUGUAGCGGUGAAAUGCGCAGAUAUCCGGAGGAACACCAGCGGCGAAGGCGGCUUCCUGGACCGACACUGACGCUGAGGCGCGAAAGCUAGGGGAGCAAACGGG
Molecule: ribosomal RNA, 253 nt
Filed under: uncultured bacterium
Lineage: Bacteria
Description: partial 16S ribosomal RNA
Rfam family: Bacterial small subunit ribosomal RNA
Source: RNAcentral